This is a long non-coding RNA of Cucurbita moschata (crookneck pumpkin), 1653 nucleotides long. RefSeq lists it as uncharacterized. Lineage: Eukaryota; Viridiplantae; Streptophyta; Magnoliopsida; Cucurbitales; Cucurbitaceae. The transcript is spliced from 8 exons. The record is from RefSeq and is a predicted model, not a curated record.
UCACUCAUUCUUUUCACUUCGCGCUACUCUCGCUUUCUUGUUCCCUUGACAACCAAGCUUCAAACAGUACAGUUUCCCGCCAUUUUUUACGAGGCGAAGGUUUCGUUCAAUCUACUCCAUCGUGCCGGAGUCAUUUCUGUCGGUUGAUGGCGACGGAGAUGACUCCGGAUUCGGUGGUCUCGGCUUCAUUACGUUCAGUGACCGCUCUCUUUCGAGGUGAAAUCUUAAGCAGCACCAGGAGCAAGGCAAUGUGUCGUCUGAUUGCCUUAUCUCGCGUUCUCGAUCAAACCUGGUUGGAUCGCUACUGGUUUGCGUUUAGAAGGAGAGCGUUCUUCGUUUUUUGCUGGCUUUUCGUUGCUCAUGUUGUUCAUUGUUUCGUUGUUUCUGGAGAGUCAGAUGACUUCGGUGUUCUUGCCGCAGAGGAUUCCUCGGAGGUUCAUAGAAGGUAAUGAUCUCGAUCGAUUGCGCUUUGAGGAUCUUUUUGGUUAUCAGAAAUCGAAGCUUGCUCUGUGAAGUUGCAUUAAAAAUGAAAUCCUUUUUUUAGAAUAUAUAGUCAUGAAUUUUGACCUUUGAGGCAUGGAAGAACUGUAGGUGAAAAACUUCGAAUGACAUGAUAGAUACAGUUAAUGGAAAUGAACUGUGGAUUCCGGUGUGCGCCUAUCCCACUGUUCCUACUGUGAUCAUCUGCCAAUAAUAUCAUCAAUUUGGAAUUGAGAUUCAAAAUCCUGUUCUUAAUUACUGGCAAUGAAGAACAUGAAGAAGCUUGGAUGUGUUUGAGGGUACGGAUGUGUCGUUGAAGCAUCUGAGACUCAUCGAAUUUGAGGAACUUGGAUCACCUUUCAUUCAUCGUUGUCGAGGGGAUCCAUGGGUUACUUUUUACUAAAUUCAGUUUGGAUGCUUUGAUAAGAGCUCUCUCGAUUCUUAGUUCUGAUGGAAGGCUCACUAGAAUUGCAAACAAUAAUGCUUCAUCCGGAAGAUUGCUAACUAAAAAUGUGCUUGCUACAGAGUGCAUUGCUGGAUAUAUACAAAUCUCUUGGAGGAAGUUCUCAAGAGAUUUGCAUAUCCAAGUAAGAGCUUGAAAGGGCAGGGCAGCCAGUCCGCAUUUACGAGAUAUACAGCGGAUCUGGUGCUUGGACAUUUUUGCAUCAUGGUGCUCUUUUUCGUGGACUUAGUCUUGAUGUUUGUUGAUUUCAUUAGAUGCCGUAGACAGGAAGCUUGACAAUGUCAUAUGAAUGUGCUUGCUUGCUUCCUCAGGGCUGGAGUGGGCGGAGAAUGAUUUGCUUAACUCAAAGAGCAACAUCCGUUUGAAGAACGUCAGGAGUUCAUGUGGUCGGAAUCCUUCCAACAUUACAAUGCUGAAGGCCAUGGAUACAAAUUUGGCUGAAACUCGUUAACAGGAGAUAUUGGAGAUGCAUAUUCUAGAUAGAGUCGUUGCUUUCUAACCCAGCGGCGGAUGCUUGGUACAAUUCAACGAGUACAGAAGACCGUCAAAUUCAAGUACGUGACUUUCUUUCAAGCUUUUUUCCACUGAUUCUUUCAGUUUCUAAAAUCCAAUUUAGACACUUAACCAACUUGAAAAAUGAUGGAUAAGACUAGAUUUUCUACUUCCAGCCUUUUGAGAAUUUAAGCGGACUAUGAACUUGCUAAAAAAAA